GAGAAGAUCCAAACUGCUUCUAAAACACACCUGAAUCUCUAUAAACCACUUUAUACUCACGAGUGAUUCAUUGAAAACCCAAAUCAAGAACAAACAGAUUUCAACUGAAGAAAAUUUCAAAAAAUUGAACAAAUUGAAAAGCUAGGGUUCGGGAAUUACCAGCGAUGUAUCAACAAAAUCAGACGGAUCAACGACACUAUUAGCGGAAUCGAAAAAGUUAGGGUGUUGUAGAAGAGAGAGUGAGGGCUGAACGGAGAGAGAACAAGAAUGAGAUCUUAGGAGGCGAAAAUGAGAACAAGAAUGAGAACGGUGAAAAUGAAGCUGAGUUGAGCAACUUUUGAGGGAGAGGCGAAAAUGAAGUUGGUACUGCCUUAUUCUGUCACAAGCCCUGCUAAGUACCAAAUUUGGGCUUAACAUUAAUUAAC
Molecule: long non-coding RNA, 425 nt
Filed under: Lupinus angustifolius (narrow-leaved blue lupine)
Lineage: Eukaryota; Viridiplantae; Streptophyta; Magnoliopsida; Fabales; Fabaceae
Description: long non-coding RNA (LANG_LNC003784)
Source: RNAcentral